AGUGAACGCUGGCGGUAGGCCUAACACAUGCAAGUCGAACGGCAGCACAGGAGAGCUUGCUCUCUGGGUGGCGAGUGGCGGACGGGUGAGGAAUACAUCGGAAUCUACUCUGUCGUGGGGGAUAACGUAGGGAAACUUACGCUAAUACCGCAUACGACCUACGGGUGAAAGCAGGGGAUUUUCGGACCUUGCGCGAUUGAAUGAACCGAUGUCGGAUUAGCUAGUUGGCGGGGUAAAGGCCCACCAAGGCGACGAUCCGUAGCUGGUCUGAGAGGAUGAUCAGCCACACUGGAACUGAGACACGGUCCAGACUCCUACGGGAGGCAGCAGUGGGGAAUAUUGGACAAUGGGCGCAAGCCUGAUCCAGCCAUACCGCGUGGGUGAAGAAGGCCUUCGGGUUGUAAAGCCCUUUUGUUGGGAAAGAAAUCCAGCUGGCUAAUACCCGGUUGGGAUGGCGGUACCCAAAGAAUAAGCACCGGCUAACUUCGUGCCAGCAGCCGCGGUAA
RNAcentral lists this ribosomal RNA (506 nucleotides) under uncultured bacterium. Its description in RNAcentral is "partial 16S ribosomal RNA". It matches the Rfam family "Bacterial small subunit ribosomal RNA", at positions 29 to 523 of the family's 1533-position model. The record is from RNAcentral.